GCCAUAGCUCAGAGGCAGAGCACCAGCUUUAGAUGCAGGAGGUUCCUGGUUCAAUUCUCAGUAUAACCC
RNAcentral lists this transfer RNA (69 nucleotides) under Sphaerodactylus townsendi. RNAcentral's name for it is "tRNA-Leu". The record is from RNAcentral. Lineage: Eukaryota; Metazoa; Chordata; Lepidosauria; Squamata; Sphaerodactylidae.